RNAcentral lists this ribosomal RNA (433 nucleotides) under uncultured bacterium. RNAcentral describes it as "partial 16S ribosomal RNA". It matches the Rfam family "Bacterial small subunit ribosomal RNA", at positions 29 to 507 of the family's 1533-position model. The record is from RNAcentral.
CACGAACGCUGGCGGCAUGCCUAACACAUGCAAGUCGAACGAGACCUUCGGGUCUAGUGGCGCACGGGUGCGUAACGCGUGGGAACCUGCCCUUAGGUUCGGAAUAACUCCCCGAAAGGGGUGCUAAUACCGGAUAAUGUCUUCGGACCAAAGAUUUAUCGCCUUUGGAUGGGCCCGCGUUGGAUUAGCUAGUUGGUAGGGUAAAAGCCUACCAAGGCGACGAUCCAUAGCUGGUCUGAGAGGAUGAUCAGCCACACUGGGACUGAGACACGGCCCAGACUCCUACGGGAGGCAGCAGUGGGGAAUAUUGGACAAUGGGCGAAAGCCUGAUCCAGCAAUGCCGCGUGAGUGAUGAAGGCCUUAGGGUUGUAAAGCUCUUUUACCCGGGAUGAUAAUGACAGUACCGGGAGAAUAAGCGCCGGCUAACUCCGUG